Lampropedia sp. is the source of this 87-nucleotide transfer RNA. It matches the Rfam family "tRNA". Rfam says of the family: Transfer RNA (tRNA) molecules are approximately 80 nucleotides in length. Their secondary structure includes four short double-helical elements and three loops (D, anti-codon, and T loops). Further hydrogen bonds mediate the characteristic L-shaped molecular structure. tRNAs have two regions of fundamental functional importance: the anti-codon, which is responsible for specific mRNA codon recognition, and the 3' end, to which the tRNAs corresponding amino acid is attached (by aminoacyl-tRNA synthetases). tRNAs cope with the degeneracy of the genetic code in two manners: having more than one tRNA (with a specific anti-codon) for a particular amino acid; and 'wobble' base-pairing, i.e. permitting non-standard base-pairing at the 3rd anti-codon position. NCBI's taxonomy places the organism in Bacteria, Pseudomonadati, Pseudomonadota, Betaproteobacteria, Burkholderiales, Comamonadaceae. The record is from Rfam.
GGAGAGGUGGCAGAGUGGUCGAAUGUACCUGACUCGAAAUCAGGCGUACGUGCAAGCGUACCGAGGGUUCGAAUCCCUCCCUCUCCG